AUUGAACGCUGGCGGCAUGCCUUACACAUGCAAGUCGAACGGUAACGGGUUAAGCCGACGAGUGGCGAACGGGUGAGUAAUAUAUCGGAACGUGCCCAAUCGUGGGGGAUAACGCAGCGAAAGUUGUGCUAAUACCGCAUAAGAUCUACGGAUGAAAGCGGGGGAUCGCAAGACCUCGCGCGAGUGGAGCGGCCGAUAUCAGAUUAGCUAGUUGGUGGGGUAAAGGCCCACCAAGGCGACGAUCUGUAGCUGGUCUGAGAGGACGACCAGCCACACUGGGACUGAGACACGGCCCAGACUCCUACGGGAGGCAGCAGUGGGGAAUUUUGGACAAUGGGCGCAAGCCUGAUCCAGCAAUGCCGCGUGCAGGAUGAAGGCCUUCGGG
RNAcentral lists this ribosomal RNA (385 nucleotides) under uncultured bacterium. RNAcentral describes it as "bacterial SSU rRNA". It matches the Rfam family "Bacterial small subunit ribosomal RNA", at positions 29 to 422 of the family's 1533-position model. The record is from RNAcentral.